AAAGGAAUUGACGGGGGCCCGCACAAGCGGUGGAUCAUGUGGUUUAAUUCGAAGCAACGCGCAGAACCUUACCUGGGUUUGACAUCCUUUGAAUACAGUAGAGAUAUUGUAGGCUCGCAAGAGACAAAGAGACAGGUGCUGCAUGGCUGUCGUCAGCUCGUGUUGUGAAAUGUUGGGUUAAGUCCCGCAACGAGCGCAACCCCUGUGUUUGGUUGCUAACAUCUAAGAUGAGCACUCCAGACAGACUGCCGUCGUUAAGACGGAGGAAGGUGGGGAUGACGUCAAGUCCUCAUGGCCUUUAUAUCCAGGGCGACACACGUGAUACAAUGGUAGGUACAAAGGGCAGCGAAGUGGAGACACGAAGCAAAUCCCAAAAAACCUAUCUCAGUUCGGAUUGAAGUCUGCAACUCGACUUCAUGAAGUUGGAAUCGCUAGUAAUCGCGGAUCAGAACGCCGCGGUGAAUACGUUCCCGGGCCUUGUACACACCGCCCGU
Molecule: ribosomal RNA, 494 nt
Filed under: uncultured bacterium
Lineage: Bacteria
Description: bacterial SSU rRNA
Rfam family: Bacterial small subunit ribosomal RNA
Source: RNAcentral